GGGGAAUGACAGCCCAACCAGUGCAAAGGAAUCGACUUGUUCCUAGUAGCUGCUGGCACUAGUCCUGAACACCUCUGCAACUAACUAGCUGGGACGGGGUUGGCACCGAAAUUCUGGGGGCUCCGGCAAUAACCAACCUAGUCCUUGCGUUCUUCAGCACAAGAAGAACAGAACAACAAACUAACACAGGAGCUUCACAGAAAGCGGUGGUCACAGUGCAGCUUCUGGAAGAAGGGUUCCUCAGAUGACUCGGGCAAAACAGCCAGGAGAGCAGUGGGGAGGAAGAAUAACGUUAACUUGUCAUCGGGUUUUGGAGUUAAUUGUUCUGAAAAGCAGGGACUACGUAACUGACUAAGAAGCACAAGAAAAGCGAGCUGAUGGAAUUGCUUCUCUUCAGAUGGGGACAGCCUGCUCCUGCGCCUUGAAGAUUUCCUUCUUGAAGAACAUCCAACCUUCCUGGACUCGUUUGCCCUUCAGGACUGCCUCCCAUGGGACUCUGUCAACAAGGCCCCUAAACAGGCCAAAGUCUGCUCUCCAGAAGUCCAAGGUGGCAGUUCUGAUGUCCCCCUUCCUUACUUCUCCAGGAAUCAAAACCACUAUCAUUUCAUGGUCUCUGUGUCCAAGACGACCUCCAACCAUCACAUCACCCCCAAGUCCUUCUCUGGUCACAGACAACAGGUCCAGCGGGGCACCUUCCCUAGCUGGCUCCCUCACCAGCUGUGUCAGGAGGUUAUCUAUCUUCCACAUGCUCCAGGAACCUCCUAGACUGCUUCCUCUGCACUGUAUUGUAUUUCCAGCAAACAUCUGGACAAGUUUGUUAUUGCUGUCUCAAAAGAAGCUGCCACAGUUACAUCUUUGGACUAGGCAAUAUGAGAUGGAGGAGCAAGUGUUACAGGAGAGAUACACUUGUGAUGUACAAGGAUGUAUUAUAUAUGUUUAUUGCUAAGGUGUACUUAUGGUAGCUAAACAGCAAAAAAACCAAAACCAUUUGUAUGUUCAAAGGGUAUCUUUCAGUAUUUCUUGUGAUUACAAGGAAUAGUUUUGCAUCUGAAAAUUAAAACAUUGCAAAUUAUCAGAAA
Aquila chrysaetos chrysaetos is the source of this 1079-nucleotide long non-coding RNA. RefSeq lists it as uncharacterized. The record is from RefSeq and is a predicted model, not a curated record. The transcript has 4 exons. NCBI's taxonomy places the organism in Eukaryota, Metazoa, Chordata, Aves, Accipitriformes, Accipitridae.